Molecule: long non-coding RNA, 200 nt
Filed under: Musa acuminata (dwarf banana)
Lineage: Eukaryota; Viridiplantae; Streptophyta; Magnoliopsida; Zingiberales; Musaceae
Description: long non-coding RNA (MACU_LNC011286)
Source: RNAcentral
GCCUCGCAAGUGGAUGUAGGUCAUUUGACCGAACCACUUUAAAAUCGGCGUAAUCUCCGGUUUGCGUUUAUGUUUAUGCAUUUAUCUUUCUGUAAACCUUUACUUUGCUAAGUUCACUGCCCUCAUCUUAUUACGUACGCUUUCAAUGCAAUUGAAACGGUUUCAAACGAAAUAUUAUUUUUAUCGUACAAAAGAUUUUC